CGAAAGCCUGACGGAGCAAUACCGCGUGAGGGAUGACGGCCUGUGGGUUGUAAACCUCUUUUCUCAAGGAAGAAGUUCUGACGGUACUUGAGGAAUAAGCAUCGGCUAACUCUGUGCCAGCAGCCGCGGUAAUACAGAGGAUGCAAGCGUUAUCCGGAAUCACUGGGCAUAAAGCGUCUGUAGGUGGUUUGGUAAGUCUGCUGUUAAAGACUGGGGCUCAACCCCAGAAAAGCAGUGGAAACUGCUAGACUUGAGUGUGGUAGAGGUAGAGGGAAUUCCUAGUGUAGCGGUGAAAUGCGUAGAUAUUAGGAAGAACACCAAUGGCGAAGGCACUCUACUGGGCCAUAACUGACACUGAGAGACGACAGCUAGGGGAGCAAAUG
This 383-nucleotide ribosomal RNA is filed under the name uncultured cyanobacterium. RNAcentral's name for it is "bacterial SSU rRNA". It matches the Rfam family "Bacterial small subunit ribosomal RNA", at positions 376 to 774 of the family's 1533-position model. The record is from RNAcentral. Lineage: Bacteria; Bacillati; Cyanobacteriota.